This 75-nucleotide transfer RNA is filed under the name bacterium. RNAcentral describes it as "tRNA-Arg". It matches the Rfam family "tRNA". Rfam says of the family: Transfer RNA (tRNA) molecules are approximately 80 nucleotides in length. Their secondary structure includes four short double-helical elements and three loops (D, anti-codon, and T loops). The record is from RNAcentral. RNAcentral also lists the same sequence under 1 other name.
GCGCCCGUAGCUCAGCUGGAUAGAGCGUUGGAUUCCGGUUCCAAAGGUCACAGGUUCAAAUCCUGUCGGGCGUAC